This 413-nucleotide ribosomal RNA is filed under the name Metzgeria conjugata. Its description in RNAcentral is "eukaryotic LSU rRNA". The stretch from base 1 to 109 matches the Rfam family "5.8S ribosomal RNA", at positions 46 to 154 of the family's 154-position model. Lineage: Eukaryota; Viridiplantae; Streptophyta; Jungermanniopsida; Metzgeriales; Metzgeriaceae. The record is from RNAcentral.
CAGCGAAAUGCGAUACCUAGUGUGAAUUGCAGAAUUCCGCGAAUCAUCGAGUCUUUGAACGCAAGUUGCGCCCGAGGCUUGUCCCGAGGGCAUGCCUGCCUGAGCGUCACCGCACUCCCACCCGACGAACCCUCGUCGCGCGUGGAAAUGGCCGUCCGGGGUCGGGCGUCGAUGCCCAGCGCCGCGGUCGGCUGAAAUGGAGCGUUCUGGACGUAGCCGGAGAGGGGGAUUGCGAGAAGGUGAUCCGCCCUCUGGGCGGAGUCUAUUUUGACAGCGUCCCUCGAUCCGGGAGGUCCCACGGAACUCGGAGCGGGAGCUCGCCCGGUCGAUCGCUCGCGGUCGGUUGGGCGAGUCACACCACUGCUUGGACCUCAGAUCAGGCAAGAUUACCCGCUGAGUUUAAGCAUAUCACU